ACGCGGGAAAUCCGGUAGGGAGCGGGCCUGGAGAGCCCGUGGGGCUUACGCCCCGCGUGGGUUCAAAUCCCACCCCCGGCGCCA
RNAcentral lists this transfer RNA (84 nucleotides) under Candidatus Bathyarchaeota archaeon. RNAcentral's name for it is "tRNA-Ser". Lineage: Archaea; Thermoproteati; Candidatus Bathyarchaeota. The record is from RNAcentral.